This 114-nucleotide ribosomal RNA is filed under the name Zingiber officinale. The record is from RNAcentral. Lineage: Eukaryota; Viridiplantae; Streptophyta; Magnoliopsida; Zingiberales; Zingiberaceae.
GCGAUCAUACCAGCACUAAUGCACCGGAUCCCAUCAGAACUCCGAAGUUAAGCGUGCUUGGGCGAGAGCAGUACGAGGAUGGGUGACCCCCUGGGAAGUCCUCGUGUUGCACUU